This 254-nucleotide ribosomal RNA is filed under the name uncultured bacterium. RNAcentral describes it as "partial 16S ribosomal RNA". It matches the Rfam family "Bacterial small subunit ribosomal RNA", at positions 524 to 776 of the family's 1533-position model. The record is from RNAcentral.
UACGGGGGGAGCAAGCGUUGUUCGGAUUUACUGGGCGUAAAGGGCGCGUAGGCGGCCACCGCAAGUCGGUUGUGAAAUCCCCGGGCUCAACCUGGGAACUGCAUCUGUGACUGCAUCGCUGGAGUGCGGCAGAGGGGGAUGGAAUUCCGCGUGUAGCAGUGAAAUGCGUAGAUAUGCGGAGGAACACCGAUGGCGAAGGCAAUCCCCUGGGCCUGCACUGACGCUCAUGCACGAAAGCGUGGGGAGCAAACAGG